CCCUUAGAUGUUCUGGGCUGCACGCGCGCUACACUGAUGCACUCAACGAGUUUACGACCUUGCCCGAUAGGGUUGGGUAAUCUUUUUAAAAUGCAUCGUGAUGGGGAUAGAUUAUUGCAAUUAUUAAUCUUCAACGAGGAAUUCCUAGUAAGCGCGAGUCAUCAGCUCGUGCUGAUUACGUCCCUGCCCUUUGUACACACCGCCCGUCGCUCCUACCGAUUGAGUGCUCAGGUGAAUAAUUCGGACUGCAGCAAUGUUUGGAUCCGGAACGUUGCAGCGGAAAGUUUAGUGAACCUUAUCACUUAGAGGAAGGAGAAGUCGUAACA
RNAcentral lists this ribosomal RNA (326 nucleotides) under uncultured eukaryote. RNAcentral's name for it is "partial 18S ribosomal RNA". It matches the Rfam family "Eukaryotic small subunit ribosomal RNA", at positions 1470 to 1796 of the family's 1831-position model. The record is from RNAcentral.